This is a non-coding RNA of Camelina sativa (false flax), 630 nucleotides long. The record is from RefSeq and is a predicted model, not a curated record. NCBI's taxonomy places the organism in Eukaryota, Viridiplantae, Streptophyta, Magnoliopsida, Brassicales, Brassicaceae.
AUGUCUUCGUAUUUGACAUCUUACUUUGAAAUCUUUCUUCUAGGGAACUUAUGGGAAAUUGCAUACAGAGCUGUGAACAUUUGGUAAAACUGUUAGUGUUAGUGAUUAAGAUUAUGGUGUGAAGUUAGUUAGUCCUCUUCUCAUAUGCGGUGGAUAUGUGCAUUUGUUUUCUGAUUUAAAGCAUGUCCAAGUUCCUGUUCCAUCACCCAAGAGCAAUGAGGUUUUCCUGAAAUUAGAAGCUACUAGUCUAAACCCUGUUGAUUGGAAAAUUCAAAAAGGAUUGAUCAGGCCUUUUUUCCCCCGCAAGUUCCCCUGCAUUCCUGCUACUGAUGUUGCUGGAGAGGUCGUUGAGGUUGGAUCAGGAGUCAAGAAUUUUAAGGCUGGUGACAAAGUUGUAGCGGUUCUUAACCAUCUUACUGGAGGUGGACUUGCUGAGUUCGCCGUUGCAAGCGAGAAACUGACCGUCAAGAGACCCCAAAAAGUGGGAGCAGCUGAAGCAGCCGCUUUGCCUGUGGCAGGUCUAACCGCACUCCAGGCUCUAACUCAGCCUGCGGGGUUGAAGAUGGAUGGUACAGGCAAGCAGGCAAACAUCCUGAUCACAGCAGCGUCUGGCGGGGUCGGCCACUAUGC